Molecule: long non-coding RNA, 215 nt
Filed under: Elaeis guineensis (African oil palm)
Lineage: Eukaryota; Viridiplantae; Streptophyta; Magnoliopsida; Arecales; Arecaceae
Description: long non-coding RNA (EGUI_LNC027829)
Source: RNAcentral
AGUUCUAUCAAAGCAAGUUUUAAAACAAAUGAUUAUGGUAAACUGAGACUUUAUCUAACUACGAAGAUAUAGAUAAGAAUUUUAAACUUACUUAAGAUCUGGUUGGAUUGGUCCGUAGAUUUCAGAAAGUGAAAAUAAGAACUCGAAAGUGUGUGAUCACUAUCCUAAAAUAAAUUUCCAUCUCUCAUGUCGGUGAUUAUCAAAAUUUUACCCCA